Molecule: RNA transcript, 5466 nt
Organism: Pan troglodytes (chimpanzee)
Lineage: Eukaryota; Metazoa; Chordata; Mammalia; Primates; Hominidae
Gene: RAB3GAP1
Gene name: RAB3 GTPase activating protein catalytic subunit 1
Exons: 28
Source: RefSeq, a predicted model, not a curated record
GAAAUUUUCAAGUUUUAUUAAACCAGCUAGAGCGGAGUUUUAUUAACCAGCUGAGGGCGGACUAAAGACUUACAGACCUGGGCGAAGAAGCAGCACUCCUACUUACCAGGGCAAGACUCAUGAACAGGGGGCGGGGGCUCCGGGGGCGGGGACGCGCCCCGUUCUCUUUCGCUCUUCUUCCCGGCAGCCUUAGCGCCAGGCCCGGCGCUCCUCAAGAUGGCUGCCGACAGUGAGCCCGAAUCCGAGGUAUUUGAGAUCACGGACUUCACCACUGCCUCGGAAUGGGAAAGGUUUAUUUCCAAAGUUGAAGAAGUCUUGAAUGACUGGAAACUGAUUGGAAACUCUUUGGGAAAGCCACUUGAAAAGGGUAUAUUUACUUCUGGCACAUGGGAAGAGAAAUCAGAUGAAAUUUCCUUUGCUGACUUCAAGUUCUCAGUCACUCAUCAUUAUCUUGUACAAGAGUCCACUGAUAAAGAAGGAAAGGAUGAGUUAUUAGAGGAUGUUAUUCCACAAUCUAUGCAAGAUUUGCUGGGUAUGAAUAAUGACUUUCCUCCAAGAGCACAUUGCCUGGUAAGAUGGUAUGGGCUACGUGAGUUCGUGGUGAUUGCCCCUGCUGCACACAGUGACGCUGUUCUCAGCGAAUCUAAGUGCAACCUUCUUCUGAGUUCUGUUUCUAUUGCCUUGGGAAACACUGGCUGUCAGGUGCCACUCUUUGUGCAAAUUCACCACAAAUGGCGAAGAAUGUACGUAGGAGAAUGUCAAGGUCCUGGUGUACGAACUGAUUUCGAAAUGGUUCAUCUUAGAAAAGUGCCAAAUCAGUACACUCACUUAUCAGGUCUGCUGGAUAUCUUCAAAUCAAAGAUUGGAUGUCCUUUAACUCCAUUGCCUCCAGUUAGUAUUGCUAUUCGAUUUACCUAUGUACUUCAAGAUUGGCAGCAGUAUUUUUGGCCUCAGCAACCUCCAGACAUAGAUGCCCUUGUAGGAGGAGAAGUUGGAGGCUUGGAGUUUGGCAAGUUACCAUUUGGUGCCUGCGAAGAUCCUAUUAGUGAACUCCAUUUAGCUACUACAUGGCCUCAUCUGACCGAAGGGAUCAUUGUGGAUAAUGAUGUUUAUUCUGAUUUGGAUCCUAUUCAAGCUCCACAUUGGUCUGUUAGAGUUCGAAAAGCUGAGAAUCCUCAGUGUUUGCUAGGUGAUUUUGUUACUGAAUUUUUUAAAAUUUGCCGUCGAAAGGAGUCAACUGAUGAGAUUCUUGGACGAUCUGCAUUUGAGGAAGAAGGCAAAGAAACUGCUGAUAUAACUCAUGCUUUGUCAAAAUUGACAGAGCCGGCAUCAGUUCCAAUUCAUAAAUUAUCAGUUUCAAAUAUGGUACACACUGCAAAGAAGAAAAUCCGAAAACACAGAGGUGUAGAGGAGUCACCGCUAAAUAAUGAUGUUCUUAAUACUAUUCUCCUGUUCUUAUUCCCUGAUGCUGUUUCUGAGAAACCAUUAGAUGGAACUACUUCAACAGAUAAUAAUAAUCCUCCAUCAGAGAGUGAAGACUAUAAUCUCUACAAUCAGUUCAAGUCUGCACCAUCUGACAGUUUAACAUACAAACUGGCUUUGUGUCUCUGUAUGAUCAAUUUUUACCAUGGAGGGUUGAAAGGAGUGGCACACCUCUGGCAGGAAUUUGUUCUUGAAAUGCGUUUCCGAUGGGAAAACAACUUUCUGAUUCCAGGAUUAGCAAGUGGACCCCCAGAUCUGAGGUGUUGUUUACUGCAUCAGAAACUACAGAUGUUAAAUUGUUGUAUUGAAAGAAAGAAGGCACGUGAUGAGGGGAAAAAGACAAGUGCUUCAGAUGUCACUAAUAUAUAUCCAGGGGAUGCUGGAAAAGCAGGAGACCACUUGGUGCCAGAUAAUCUAAAAGAAACAGAUAAGGAAAAGGGAGAGGUAGGAAAAUCUUGGGAUUCCUGGAGUGACAGCGAAGAAGAAUUUUUUGAAUGCCUAAGUGAUACUGAAGAACUUAAAGGAAAUGGACAAGAGAGUGGCAAGAAAGGAGGACCUAAGGAGAUGGCAAAUUUAAGGCCGGAAGGACGGCUCUAUCAGCAUGGGAAGCUUACACUGCUGCAUAAUGGAGAACCUCUCUACAUUCCAGUAACCCAGGAACCAGCACCUAUGACAGAAGAUCUGCUAGAAGAGCAGUCUGAAGUUUUAGCUAAAUUAGGUACAUCGGCAGAAGGGGCUCACCUCCGAGCACGCAUGCAGAGUGCCUGUCUGCUCUCAGAUAUGGAGUCUUUUAAGGCAGCUAAUCCAGGUUGCUCCCUGGAAGAUUUUGUGAGGUGGUAUUCACCCCGGGAUUAUAUUGAAGAGGAGGUGAUUGAUGAAAAGGGCAACGUGGUGCUGAAAGGAGAACUGAGUGCCCGGAUGAAGAUUCCAAGCAAUAUGUGGGUAGAAGCCUGGGAAACAGCUAAGCCAAUUCCUGCUAGAAGGCAAAGGAGACUCUUCGAUGAUACACGGGAAGCAGAAAAGGUGCUGCACUAUCUGGCAAUCCAGAAACCUGCAGACCUUGCUCGGCACCUGUUACCUUGUGUGAUUCAUGCAGCUGUACUCAAGGUAAAGGAAGAAGAAAGUCUCGAAAACAUUUCUUCAGUUAAGAAGAUCAUAAAGCAGAUAAUAUCCCAUUCCAGUAAAGUUUUGCACUUCCCCAAUCCAGAAGACAAGAAAUUGGAAGAAAUCAUUCACCAGAUUACUAAUGUGGAAGCUCUCAUUGCCAGAGCUCGGUCACUAAAAGCCAAGUUUGGAACUGAGAAAUGUGAACAGGAGGAGGAAAAGGAAGAUCUUGAAAGGUUUGUGAGUUGCCUGCUGGAGCAGCCUGAAGUGUUAGUCACCGGUGCAGGAAGAGGACAUGCUGGCAGGAUCAUUCACAAGCUGUUUGUGAAUGCCCAGAGGCUGACUGAAUCUUCUGAUGAGGCUGCAGCUAUGACUCCACCAGAGGAGGAAUUGAAGAGAAUGGGCUCCCCAGAGGAAAGAAGGCAGAACUCCGUGUCAGACUUCCCACCCGCUGCUGGCCGGGAAUUCAUUUUGCGCACCACUGUGCCGCGCCCUGCUCCCUACUCCAAAGCUCUGCCUCAGCGGAUGUACAGUGUUCUCACCAAAGAGGACUUUAGACUUGCAGCUCCCCAGGUGUGUCCUGGUAGACAACUGCUCCCAGGAGCUGGCAUAGAAGCAAACCUGCAGGAAAAGCUGACCCACUCCAGGUGUGUGGAAGCUGCUGGCAGGAACCCAGCAAGGAUCCAGCUGGGUUGUAAUGGAAACAAUGCAACCAACAAUCCUUGAGCGAGCCGGGAUAGAUGUGGCCUCAUCACUGAAGAUUUCAUCUGAGACCUCUGCAAAUAUCCAAAUUGUAUAUGCUCUUAGAGCAGAUCAUUUUCUCACAGGGUGUCUAACCAAAGGAAAGGAAAUCAGCAUAUCAAAGAGAUAUCUGCACUCCCAUGUUGAUUGCAGCACUGUUCACAACAGCCAAGAUGUGGAAUCAACCAAAGUGUCCAUUGGCAGAUGAAUGGAUUAAAAAUGUGGUGCAUGGCCCGGCGCAGUGGCUCAUACCUGUAAUCCCAGCACUUUCGGAGGCCAAGGAAUAAUGGAGUGCUUCAUGGUACUGAAGGAAGCAAGAGCUCUGCAAAUAGAGGAAAGUGUCUUACAUUGGUUACUGAGAUGUUCAAAAGGGUUGCCUAUUACAUGCCAAAGAAAGCAACUGAAAGCAGGAGAAAUUGCCAAAUCCCUCAGAAUAAAUGAAAGAAAUGUCCAAGCAACAGAGGAUGAUGUGGCCUGGCCUGGGCUAUCAUUAAGGUAUUGUGUCAUAGCUUAAUUGGCAGUUUUCUUUGAAGAACUAUGCAUUAAUGCUUAAAGAUCAGAAGCCAUUCUUUGAUAAAAAUAACUGUAACAACAAUUCCAAAUCAGUUGAUAUUAAUUCUUGAUAGCUAUCAGCUAUAUUAGGGAACAUAUUUCUCUUUUCAGUGUUGCCAUGAAGUGUAAAUUAAUGGUUUGAGACUAUAGAUGAUGCACCUAUGGUCAUUCUUCCAAACUCCUGGAAUUCCAGAGAGAACAAAACUACAGUUCUAGAGUAGUAUGUACCACUCUGGUUCUAAAAGAGCAUAUGUAGGUAGAAUAAGCAUUUAACAUAGUGUGCCUACUUUGUUUUCUGUUUGUUUUUCAUGGAAAUCCAUGUUAGUGGAAAGAUGUGAAGCAUACCUCUUAUGUGGAAUUCUCAGCCCAGUGAUCUGAAAAGUCAAAAGAGGGAAGCAGGAAUAGGUAAGGGGUAAAUGCUGGCAUUGUCUGGAGUGAAUGAGGGCAAAGCAAAUUUCACUGGCAGAACAAAACUUCAAAGUGAUUUUUAAAAAGCAUUUGUAAGUACAAGCUAACAUGUUUUUAUCAAGAGAUCAAUGUACAACUAACAAGCCAAUAUUUCCCUGCCAUAGAUGAAGAGACUCAUAGCCCAGGUGAUGACAAUUGCCAGGUGUUGGUUCCUAGUCUCAUAUUUAGUUCACUGAGCCAUAUGCUGUCCCAUUACCAGAGUCUCAUCAGCACUUGAGAGUUUCUCACAGUGAGAUCAAGAAAACUAGAGACACAAAAGAGUAUAACCCACCUGAGUCUACACUGUCUACUUAAAAGCUGUUAAAAUUAACAGAUCUAAACAGAUCCAUUCCAAGACAUUCUUUGGGAAGACCUUGAGGAGUUAGAAGGAAGGCUGAGAGAAGAAGAAAGAAGGAUGCCUUGAGCUCAGAAAUUCUUAAAUGAACAUUUCAUUUUAAAGCUAUGAGUCAGACUCUUCUAUUAGUGUUUAAUAGCAACUAACUUAGAAGAAAAGCUUCAACAGUCUCAUCCCAACUAUUGGGUUUAUCUGAAUAAGAAUAUCAAUCUGUAUGUUACUAUGGUCACUAAAUGAGUAACAAGGAAAAUAACCCAAAAGUACUCAGUCUCUUGCCAGCUAGCCCAUAAACGAUAGUGAAAUAUGACAUACAGGCUAGUAUUUGCUAACCAUCACAGCUAUAAAUAAUGAAUGGAAUCAACCAAAAAGUAAACAAACCCGAAACACUGUAUGGUUGGCUCCAAAUGCAGUCAUGAUUCAUACAGUCUUGACAUUAUGUUCCCUAAAAACAUUUUCUUUAAAAUACUUUUUUAAAAAUAUGCCAAUUAAGUAUAACUAUUUACAAGAAUUUUUGUGUAAAGGAUUAAUGAUAUGCUAAGUGUUAGUUAAUUAUCUGUCAGUCUUACUGUUUUGUCCCAAAGCACCUCCCAAAUAUCAAAACAACACCCUUACUGUGUGAAUGAGCUAGGCUUGGUUGAGGCUGGGCAACAGGCCUGGUGGCAGCACAUGUAGGUAUUUAUCGGUUUUGCUCUAUGUGUAAUGUCUGAAUGCCAACAGACACACUCAGCUCUUCUAGCCAUCUGGCGUUUAAGUAUGUGGUUACAAAUGGUUGGUAUUUUUAAUAU